CCUACGGGAGGCAGCAGUGGGGAAUAUUGGGCAAUGGAGGAAACUCUGACCCAGCAACGCCGCGUGCAUGAUGACGGUCUUCGGAGUGGAAAGUUGUUUUCUAAGGGGAGAAGACAGUGACGGUACCUUAGGAAUAAACCUCGGCUAACUACGUGCCAGCAGCCGCGGUAAUACGUAGGAGGCGAGCGUUAUCCGGAAUGACUGGGCGUAAGGGGUGCGUAGGUGGUUUGGCAAGUUAGUAGCGUAACUCCAAGGCUCAACCUUGGAAUUACUACUAAAACUGUUGGACUUGAGUGAAGGAGGGGUAGGCGGAAUGCCUAGUGUAGCGGUGGAAUGCGUAGAUAUUAGGAGGAACACCAGUGGCGAAGGCGGGUUGCCAGACUGCAACUGACACUGAGGCACGAAAGCGUGGGGAGCAAACAGGAUUAGAUACCCUUGUAGUC
Molecule: ribosomal RNA, 443 nt
Filed under: uncultured bacterium
Lineage: Bacteria
Description: partial 16S ribosomal RNA
Rfam family: Bacterial small subunit ribosomal RNA
Source: RNAcentral